Molecule: ribosomal RNA, 256 nt
Filed under: uncultured Glomus
Lineage: Eukaryota; Fungi; Glomeromycota; Glomeromycetes; Glomerales; Glomeraceae
Description: partial 18S ribosomal RNA
Rfam family: Eukaryotic small subunit ribosomal RNA
Source: RNAcentral
AAGCUCGUAGUUGAAUUUCGGGAUUAGUACGUCGGUCGUGCCUUAGGUACGUACUGGUGUUACUGGUUCCUACCUUCUGACGAACCAUCAUGUCAUUAAUUUGGUGUGGUGGGGAAUCAGGACUGUUACUUUGAAAAAAUUAGAGUGUUUAAAGCAGGCUCGCGCUUGAAUACAUUAGCAUGGAAUAAUGAAAUAGGACGUUGAUCCUAUUUUGUUGGUUUCUAGGAUUGACGUAAUGAUUAAAGGGAUAGUUGGG